RNAcentral lists this long non-coding RNA (6155 nucleotides) under Ananas comosus (pineapple). RNAcentral's name for it is "long non-coding RNA (ACOM_LNC015427)". Lineage: Eukaryota; Viridiplantae; Streptophyta; Magnoliopsida; Poales; Bromeliaceae. The record is from RNAcentral.
CUUGCUUAAGAUAGAGCAGACAGAAAAGAUUUUUAAUCAUUGGUUAAUCUCUAUCCAUUUAUUCUUUUAUCUUUCAUUUUUGAACAUUCCCCUUAUCCACUGGGUGUUGAGAAUCUUCGUCAACCUCCUUCACGAUCGUGCUCGCAGAAUGAGGAAUUCCGGUCGUACCUUGGGGUGUUAUUUCCGAAUGACGUCAUCCUUUUUUUUAUGAAAUUAAUGAUAAAAGAUAAAACAGGAAAUAUUAUAGUUACUGACCCAGUUUUCAACGUACUAUUCAGCUCGGGGUAGAUAAAAAUAGUAAUUAUAAUUUUUUAAUAUUUGAGACUAAAGAUUUAUAAAUGUUAUCGACACCCUAAGGUGGGUGUACUUAGAAUUGUUGUCUCACUUUAGGUUCGUAGGGGACAAAAAAAAAAUUGGGGUUUUUUACUCUUAAGGUGUUUUUUAUCUAUUAUUUCUUACUUUGUCGUCCCUUGAACUCCCUUUGUUUAAUCUUUAACGGUUUUCGUACUGUCCUAUUACAGUUUUUAAUCGUGGUUUUAAUGUUGUAUUUUAGUUGACUGGACGAGACGUAGAAAGGUAAACUGAAUUAGAACAUUCUAGUAGAGUUGACUCCGGACUCUGUUGAUUGACAUUGUCAAAGGUUUGAUUAUUAUUUUGACCGUAUUUUUCGUAUCAACUUAAAGGCUUCGACACUAAUGUUUAAUGAAGUAAAGGACGCCUAGAAUUAUAAGUUUCAGGUAACUUCGGAAGGGAGACCAGCGCCUUAUAGGAAGCCGUUUGCCUCGCCGUGGAGCAUGAGAGGGUCGCUGCAGUCGCCGCUGCCAUCCACCUCCAAUAGACCCACCUAUAACUAUGUUUCAACGGAUCGGUGGACACACACACACAUACGCUCUCUCUCUCUCUCUCUCUCUCUCUCUCUCUCUAAUCGUUUUCCUCUUUUCUCUCAAAGUUGAGAUCUGUUUAAACACGUCUUUUAUUUUAAUCGUCUCACUUCAAAGUGUCUUUUCCGUAAUCUAAACUUCUUCGUACUUUGUCUACGUUGUUUGUCUCCGGAUUCUAUUUAUAAAAUCAGGUCCAAGUCGUUGCUUUUUGUAUGACUCUACAAACUAGCGAGUUUUCUCAAUAGUCACCAAAUGUUCUUGUAUGGUAGCGUUUCUUUUAGGUACUUAAUAAAAGAAAAGUCUACCCUAAUUUUCUUUUAAAUCUUUUUACCAACCUUUAUCUUUUCAUGGAGGAGCUGUUAAAGUAGGAAACAGUGGCCACUUGCGUUAAGCAAUAGUUGGAACUACUUGGAGGAGUUUUGGAUACCACUAUAAAAUGUCCUCAAUGUCAGUAUCGGUAUACAUAUCUUCGGCCAUCAUGUAGUUCUGUUAUAAAGUUUCAAACUAGUCGUUUACUUUGUCAUCCUUAAGGUGCGUAAUGCUAAAAAAGUAACAGGAAACAUCCUCUCAUUUAUAUUUUUAAUAGUAGCAGGUAUCCAACUAACCUUCGUAGUAAUAUGUAUGUAUAUAUAUAUAUAUAUAUAUAUAUAUACGUUGAACCUUUGACAAUAAAAUCAAAGGCAAGUUUCUAAUUUUACUACCAUUUUAGUUAAUCGUGACAACUCUAUCUUUUUUAUAGUGUAAAUGGUCUUUGUCUUACAAGGAGAAUGUUUAAUAGUAUAUAGUUUUCUCUUGUACUUUUCAUCUGUCUUAUAUAAUCUUUUCCACGGUCAAAAGUUUACGUAUCAUGUCUUUGAACUUGGGAGAGGGACCAUUAGAACUGUAAUAUAUCGUAAUAUAUGAUUAACUCUAAGAGAUAAGGUAAAAGUAACGGUUUUUGGCUUUGGUAUUAUAAGGGCGAAAACAAUUUGUUUGGUGAUCUUCUUAGUUCUUUUCUUUUAGCGGUUUCAAUCGACUUAUUUCUAUUUUUGAGUUAGAUGACAAAAACUUUAGGAGGUUAGAUGCUUUCUUAUAUAUCUCAAAGCGUUAAGUCUCUUUACCUUUUUAGAAGUUGAUUUAUACUUGACAAUUGCCGUGGCAUAUAGUUUCUUCUUAGUUAACGUACGGUUCGUUUUAGUUCAUUAAUUGUGGUAAAGAAAUAACUUUACUACGAUCGUUUGUAAGUGUUAUUUAUAAGACAUCUGACUUUGUAUUACGUAGUCUUUUCAUGUGUUGAUGGUUUAAAAAUGAGUGGUUCUCCCGUAAUAGUUCUGCGAAACGACGGUAGACUAUAAGAAAGUAAAAUUCAAGGACAACGACAAAGUCUGUUUAUUUUUCGUGUAAUCUUAAACUGAUCGAUGUUAUCUCAUACUUAUGUAGGUUAUUUACAUUCUUUUUACGUUAUCAUUCGUGCGUACUACAUUUAGCAUGUUAUGCGAUUUAAUCAAAACGUGUCCCUAUGAAGUCAAGGAACCGUAAAUGCAUUAAAUCCGUUUAUGUUUAUAAUUUCUAGAGAAGUUUAUACAUGAGGCACGACGGUGGUUCCAGUAACCAUUAUCGAAUUAAGAGGAUUUGAACUGUAAAAGAGUUUAGGUGGGUGAUUACUCAUGUCCUUGUUGUGACAUUGAAUGUAAAACUUUGGUGUGGGAUUCCGGGUUUCUGGUCGAUUAGAUGAAAAGACGUUAAACGGGUCCCAAGUUGGUAUAAAACUUGGAGAUUUCCUGAAGUUAAGUAUGAGUCUACUUACACGUCUCAUAAAUUCUCUCGUUACGGUGGUUGUCUAUUUUGUUAUCUUGUUUUGUAAAAUCUAUUUUAUCUAGAAAGAAUGAAUUCAUGAAUUGAUCGAGUAGUGGAUAAAAAACAAGUUAGUUUGUGAAGGCAAAAAUGCAUGAUGUAACAGAGGAAGUUGAGGAGGAAUGAAAGGGACGAAUAAAAUGUAGAUUUGAAUUAGGUGAGAAUUGUUUUAAUUAACAAUAUGGUUAAAACCACAUAUACUGGAAUCAUAAAACCUAACCAUUUUAAGGAUACAUGAAAUUAGGAUCUGGUCUAUCGUCACUAAGACCGUAAUGUAAUUCGUAAAGUUUCUAGUCAGCCUCCUGAACAAAUGUCAUUCAGAAGAUGUAACAGUUCAACUAUAUAGUGAAAGGUUUCUUUCCCGUCAUCAGGCUGUGUACUAGUAAGACUAUGGAUACAAACAAACGUACUAUUAUAAUAUGGAGAUAAGUAUGGAGAUGAGUAUGGAGGUAUGAAGAUAAAUGAAGCUAACUCUUAUACGUUUAAAAACUUCAUACCAAUUUACCGUAAAGGUAAAAUACAAUAAGGUACAGGACACUCGAUCCUUUCACUCGUUGUUUUCUUUCCUUUGUACUAGUUUAAUAUCACGUUGAGAGUACCUCCAUCUCUUCUCAUAAGGAAGGUAGAGUUUGACCUUGUAGUGAUUGAGAGUACCUUUUAAUCUACAUCUUUUCUCUUAAGGAAGAUCUUUGUUCAAUACAUGAUGGCGUUGUUUUGUAUAUUAGGGUCUAAUGUCUUUAUAACCAUUAAUUUUGUUGUUUAACAUUAUUUAUAGGAGUAUUUUUUUAUAUAUAGACAGUGACUACGUGAUGUAUUCGAGAGGAGGCUAGUAUAGAUGUACGUAAUAAGGUAUUCUCAGUUUUAUCUUCUCUUUUCUUUCUACACAUUGUACAACCUUGUUUAUGGCGUCGCUUUUAGACUAACACUAAUUUUAGAUUGAUUGAAACACUAUUUUUAUUUUUGUUUGUUUGUAUGUCUAUUUGCGUUUAUUUAGUUGAGUGUCUAUUAGCGAUUUAGGGUUUUAACACCUUUUCCUUAUAGUUGUAUAAUUAGGCCUUCGCACGCUCCGUGACGGGAUUCCGCAUAAGGGCAGGAAUGCACGCCUUAAUUGNAUUGUGAUUAAAUCUGACGGUGCUAAUCUAUUAAAAUAUAUACAUAUAUAUUUUUGCAUAUAAUUCUGUUUGACAACUUGCUUGUAUGCUUGUCAUUCAAAUUUAAAUAAAUUGGGAUUAGCAUUUUUAAUUUCUAAUUGGAUAUUGUUUAUCUGCAAAUUAUUUUUUUUAUUGUUAUUAUUUUUACCGUACGGAUUCAAAAGGGUGGAUUUUUUUUUGCGACAGUAAAUAACAUUUUAUUUAUGUACGGUUUGAGUUUUGCUAUUGAAAAUUCCUUAAAAUUUUUUUGUUAAAAAAAAAGGGAUUUGCUACAGUGAUUUUUUUAAAGUGUACGGUUUUUUUAAAAAUUGUUACAGUAAUUAUUUUUAGCUUUCCUGUGUGUACGGGUUUUAGUUUUGCUACAGUAAAACCCAUUGCUAAUUAAAAAAAAAUUGCUACAGUACUUUCUUUUCCACUGUUGAGAUUUAUUAAAACUUAUUUUCAAAUAGAUUUUAAAACUUAAUUUUAGAGAUAUAAAUAUACUAUUUUUCGAAAAAAAAAAAGGGAAGGAAAAAUAUUUUGUUCCAAGGGAGAUUUGAUUUCACAGUAUCUAACCUGCAACACUAUUUCUAAAUUUUAUUUUUUCUAUUAUUUCAGCAAUUUUUAAAAUCUAUUUGCUGCAUAGAUAUUAUUUGAUUGCAUAUGUUAUUUGCUCGAAAUUACCUAAUUGAAAUCAAUUUUGUUUUAAAAAAAAUUGUUUGGUCCGUCUUUUGCUGUUGAAUCAAACUCUAUUCAACAUGAUUAAAUUUCAUGAUUUUUAAAUUUUAGUAUAUCUCUGAAAUUGUGGGGGAGCGUCUUUAUCAGUUUGAUAAAUUUUGAUAUUAUAAUUGCUCUCAUGUUUUCAUUUUGUCUAUCAUUGUGUUUAACUUGUAAAUAAAAUUUAUAAAUUCUAAAGUUAACAUUUAUAUUAUAUUGAGAUAGAAAUCUGUUAGAUGGUUAAUUAUCUAUCAUAUUAUUUAUUUGAGUUUUGUCAGAUUUGACUAGAAUCUUGCAGAUUACCAGAUUGAAGGCCUAAAGAGGACUAUGGUCCUGUAGUCAUCGAGGGGGAUGGGACUUUGCCCGUAAAGGGCCUUCCUGCAGUGGGAACCCAACCUUUGUGAUAGGAGAUCCCUUGAAGAAGGUUCAAUGUGGUAAAAACAAGCUGUCAGGUUGGCCAAGAGCACUUUCUACAAAUUUUAUAAAGGAGCUUUAGCUCCAAUCCCAUCCCUAUGGUGAGUAGUGCUCUGUGUAGUGGAUCAGGUUGAGCUGAGAGCUCUUAAUGGGAUCCAAGGCGAUAAUUUUCGCGAGAUGUGACUCUACACACAUCCCUGGAGGAAACCACCUAUAUAAGAGUAUCCGUAUGUGGCCGCGGCUAUGUGAUAUGGGCUAUCCAUAGAAACUCUUAUGAAAAAUCAAGGUACUGUGCAUGGCCAUUAACGCACAGACCCGCGACGGAGAAUUCUGUACUGUGUGUGUGGUGGUUGAAGUCAGGGUCAAAGGAACGUAGUUCAAGACCUGGUUCACUCCGAUUCCUUCUGAUGGAAAUCACUUACACUAAGUGGGGUUAAGUCUCUUAAAGACACCUCACCCAUUGCAUAGUAUAAAACACCCAGUAAAUUUGAUUUUAAUUCGUAAUUUUAAAAUUUUGAGUUUUGUGGGGGAUUGUUGGUGAAAAACUCAAAAUUUUGAGUUUGAAUUUAUUUUAUUUGAACUUUAAAUUAUUUAUUAUUUAUUAUUUAUGAUUCUAUUUAUUUACUACUUUAUUUAUUUUAUUUUAUUUAAUUAUUUUAGUAUCUUUCUUAAUGAGAAAGAAACUAACGGAAUUUUUUUCCGUUCCGUUUCUUCCGUGUUACGUUGGGCGGGUUCCGCUUCUUUCUCGUAAGAGAAAAACGUAAAAUCCUCUUUCCUUUUUAGGUCUUUUUCCUUUUCUUCUUGCUUAAGAUAGAGCAGACAGAAAAGAUUUUUAAUCAUUGGUUAAUCUCUAUCCAUUUAUUCUUUUAUCUUUCAUUUUUGAACAUUCCCCUUAUCCACUGGGUGUUGAGAAUCUUCGUCAACCUCCUUCACGAUCGUGCUCGCAGAAUGAGGAAUUCCGGUCGUACCUUGGGGUGUUAUUUCCGGUUAAUCCCGCACGUAAGGACGGGAAUACGCCUUAGGGCAGUGCCUCGCACGCUUUCGGAUUAAUAUAUUGAUAUUCUUUUUCCACAAUUUUGAAAUUUAGCGAUUAUCUGUGAGUUGAUUUAUUUGCAUUUAUCUGUAUGUUUGUUUAUUUUUAUUUUUAUCACAAAGUUAGUUAGGUUUUAAUUGCAACCGG